UUUUGAUUGAUUUUAGUUUGAAGAUUAUCUUGUUAGAUACUAGGAUAGCUACCCCAGGGCUGGAGAGAUGGCUCAGCCGUUAAAGGCUAGGCUCACAACCAAAAAUAUA
Molecule: microRNA precursor, 109 nt
Filed under: Cricetulus griseus (Chinese hamster)
Lineage: Eukaryota; Metazoa; Chordata; Mammalia; Rodentia; Cricetidae
Description: miRNA (ENSCGRG00001007202.1)
Source: RNAcentral